RNAcentral lists this ribosomal RNA (459 nucleotides) under uncultured bacterium. RNAcentral's name for it is "partial 16S ribosomal RNA". It matches the Rfam family "Bacterial small subunit ribosomal RNA", at positions 338 to 795 of the family's 1533-position model. The record is from RNAcentral.
CCUACGGUGGGCUGCAGUGAGGAAUAUUGGUCAAUGGGCGAGAGCCUGAACCAGCCAAGUCGCGUGAGGGAGUACUGCCCUCUGGGUUGUAAACCUCUUUUGUCGGGGCGCAAAAGCCGGACGUGUCCGGCUGUGAGAGUACCCGUAGAAAAAGCAUAGGCUACCUCCGUGCACGCAGCCGCGGUACUACGUAGGGAGCAAGUGUUAUUCGGAAUUAGUGGGUGUAAAGGGUGUGUAGACGGGAGUCUAAGUGAGUUGUGAAAUCCCUCGGCUCAACUGAGGAACUGCAACUAAAACUGGACAUCUUGAGUGCAGGAGAGGAAAGUGGAAUUCCGGGUGUAGCGGUGAAAUGCGUAGAUAUUAGGAGGAACACCAGUGGCGAAGGCGACUUUCUGGACUGUAACUGACGUUGAGGCACGAAAGUGUGGGGAGCAAACAGGAUUAGAUACCCCAGUAGUC